CGCAUGCGCGAUAAGGAAGGAAACGGACUACGCAUGCGCGGCUUGAGAAGCCUCAGACCCUCUAUUCGAUUAUUGACUUCAUUUCCAGAAGCCUCCGCAGCUUUGGUCAAAGACCGGGAAUUCUGGGAGUUGAAGUCCAAAGAAAAAAACACCUGGAGGCCCAGAGUUUGGGAAGCCACUGUUAGAAUGGUGUCAAUGCGUUGAGAUUCAACCUAACUGACAAGGUUCAAUGCUAUGGAAUCAUUGAAGUAGUGUGCCACUGGCCAGCAAUGGAAGUCUUUCGCCUCAGGACUUCAUGGCUUUUUGUGCUUGGGUUGAGCGUGGUGCUGAUAUCCGGGCCGAGGUGUGAGCCAGCCUUCAUCUACACAGUGACAGUUCAUCUCAUCUCUACAUCAGUCCAGUAGAUUCUGCGGCCUCAUCCGGAGGGACCAAACUCAAGGGAGAUGAGCACCUCUUGCAACCUGUGGGGGCUUCUUGUUUUAGAGUCUGAGUGAACUGGAUGACUUGUCCAUUUCCUCGGGUCUUGUAAACAUUGCCCUUGAUAAGUUUUGUGGCAUUCUCCUGAUCCAAAACCAGCCCCAGGUGGGUCAGCAUAUAGUUGUUACACUUGGCCAGGCCUUUUCGUUGGCCGCCACAUGAUGGCAUGGGUCACGUGAGGCUUCAUGGUGGAGUCCAUCUGGAUGUGGGAAGUGGGCUUGUGGUCCACCCACCUCUCCCCAACCAAGUGGGAGCACCAGUGACGCAGCUGAACUGGUGGGGUAUUAGGAACUGGUGGGGGAGACAUAGACCUUGACAGGGCCUUCUCACUGUCCCUCUCCCAUUCGUCUGACACCUGGCGCUGGAGCUUCUGGCUCUUGUUUUCGAGCUCCAGCUGCAAGUUGCACUUCUCUUCCUUGUAGAUUGUGGUGGUUUUCUCCAAGAUGUGAAUCUUGUAUUCAAGCGUUUUGGAUCUCUUUUCCAGGCGCUCAACUUCUGCCUUUUGCCUUGAGAUAAUCUUGUCCUUUUCAACAAUUUGUAAGUGCGCAUAGUUCUUUCUAGCGACAAUUUGGCAUCAAGUUCUUGUAACGUACCCUUUAUAGAAAGAACAUUUUUGCAGAUUCUUCCUUGAUUGCCUGCUGGGCAUGAUGGCACUUUUCCAGCACUUUAAUCAGCCAAGGAACAGUCUGGUCAUCAUUGAUGUCCAGAAGUUCUCAGGAUGGCAGCAGGGGAGGCACCUCCAUGGCAGACCUUUCUUCAUCUCCGUUGACUGUUUUUCCUCGGAGCUCCAGCUGCCUAAUACAUACACAGCACACAGUAGGUUCUCAGUUAACCGGCAUCCAUGAGGAUUUAUAGAUGCCAGAUAAACAUAGUUUCUGGUUGCAUGAAAAGUACUAUUAAAGAUAGGCCUAAUACUAUACCCCAUACUAUGCCAUAGCACAAACAGUAAUUAAAAACAAAUUAAGACGAAUAAAGACACAUUUUCAGUCCAAAACAGGUAAUCUGGAUUUUAUAUGGCAGUGUAGAAGAUGCCUAAAUAUAACAUAGUUUUAUUGUAUUAUAAAAACAGUUUUGUUAAUGCAGUAUUACUGUAUUCUUUCAAUUUUUGUCAGGUUGCUUGAGAGUUACAGUUACUUGAGUUCCAAUUAAAUGAGAAUUUGAUAUAUACUGUGUAUUCACAUAUAUGUGUGUGAAUGUGUCUUUUAGUAUAAGUUUCUGCAGAUGAUAUGAAGGCUUCCUACUAAUCUAUUUCUUUCCUUUCUUUUCCCACUCUCCUUCCUUUAAAAACCUCUGGCCAAAAUUAAUUCAACCCUCAAAGGUGUAAAUUCUUCACAGCUUGAAUAAAAUCCUAUAUGCUUUUCAA
This is a long non-coding RNA of Anolis carolinensis (green anole), 1840 nucleotides long. RefSeq lists it as uncharacterized. The transcript is spliced from 2 exons. The record is from RefSeq and is a predicted model, not a curated record. NCBI's taxonomy places the organism in Eukaryota, Metazoa, Chordata, Lepidosauria, Squamata, Anolidae.